Molecule: unclassified non-coding RNA, 264 nt
Filed under: Hevea brasiliensis (rubber tree)
Lineage: Eukaryota; Viridiplantae; Streptophyta; Magnoliopsida; Malpighiales; Euphorbiaceae
Source: RNAcentral
GGUGAUGGGAAACCAAACAUGGGAUAGUGAUGAUGAUAAGAUCACUGAAGCACAGCUACUCUUCGACAUGGAAAUGAUGGUUUGUGGCAUUGGUAAGGAGAGAAACGAAAAGGAGUGGGCAAAGCUCUUCUUUGAUGCUGGAUUCAGCAACUAUAAGAUAAACCCUGUAUUAGCCCCUGAGCUCCUAUUGAAGUUUAUCCUUAAUUAACAACUUGAUUUCAUAUAUGAUAAGAGGAAAUAAGAUCAAUACUGAACCAAUAGAAG